This is a non-coding RNA of Dipodomys ordii (Ord's kangaroo rat), 65 nucleotides long. Lineage: Eukaryota; Metazoa; Chordata; Mammalia; Rodentia; Heteromyidae. The record is from Rfam.
GGUGGCUCAAUGGUAGAGUGUUUGCCUUGCAUGCAUGAGGCCCUGGGUUCGAUUCCUCAGCACCA